GAUGAACGCUGGCGGCGUGCCUAAUACAUGCAAGUCGAACGAAUCUUCUUCGGAAGAUGAGUGGCGAACGGGUGAGUAAUACAUAGGUAACCUGCCCCUGUGCGGGGGAUAACAGGAGGAAACUCCUGCUAAUACCGCAUAGCCAUGAGCACCGCAUGGAGCUCAUGCCAAAUAUCCUUUACGGGAUAGCGCAGGGAUGGACCUAUGGCGCAUUAGCUAGUUGGCGGGGCAACGGCCCACCAAGGCAACGAUGCGUAGCCGGCCUGAGAGGGCGGACGGCCACAUUGGGACUGAGACACGGCCCAGACUCCUACGGGAGGCAGCAGUAGGGAAUUUUCGGCAAUGGGGGAAACCCUGACCGAGCAACGCCGCGUGAGCGAAGAAGGCCUUCGGGUCGUAAAGCUCUGUUGUAAAGGAAGAACGUCGGACACAGGAAAUGGUGUGCGAGUGACGGUACUUUACCAGAAAGCCACGGCUAACUACGUGCCAGCAGCCGCGGUAAUACGUAGGUGGCGAGCGUUAUCCGGAAUCAUUCGGCGUUAUGAGGGAGCAGGCGGCCGCAAGGGUCUGCUGGUGAAAGACCGAAGAUAAACUUCGGUGAGCCAUGGAAACCGGGCGGAUAGAGUGCGGAAGAGGAUCGUGGAAUUCCAUGUGUAGCGGUGAAAUGCGUAGAUAUAUGGAGGAACACCAGUGGCGAAGGCGACGGUGUGGGCCGCAACUGACGCUCAUUCCCGAAAGCGUGGGGAGCAAAUAAGGAUUAGAUACCCUAGUAGUCCACGCCGUAAAC
This 787-nucleotide ribosomal RNA is filed under the name uncultured bacterium. RNAcentral describes it as "bacterial SSU rRNA". It matches the Rfam family "Bacterial small subunit ribosomal RNA", at positions 28 to 807 of the family's 1533-position model. The record is from RNAcentral.